This 1065-nucleotide long non-coding RNA is filed under the name Zea mays. RNAcentral's name for it is "long non-coding RNA (ZMAY_LNC000099)". The record is from RNAcentral. Lineage: Eukaryota; Viridiplantae; Streptophyta; Magnoliopsida; Poales; Poaceae.
GUCCUUUGUGGUUUGUCCCUCCUCUAUUGAAUGUUGUUUCACUAUAAUGAGUUCUCUCUUAGUGGUUGCUCUCGCCAGUAGUUGAUUGUCUAUUUGGUUUAGUUGGUGAUACGAAGGUAGAGGCCUUCACUCAAAGUUGCUAGUUUUGGAUUGGUUGUAAUUGUUACCACUUUUGGCUUGAGUUUAGAAGUUAGCUUCUUCUUCGACUAUUUUUCUAUGGUCCAUGUUUGACUUGCAGAAGUUUUUGCAUGACUUCAUAAAGUUCUUAUAUUGUUGCUUGUUGGUUCUCGAGCAAAGUGUGAUGUGCAUUUGUCCCAUAUGAAACCUUUUGAUUGUUGCUAUGAUGGCCACGUCAUCUUGUACAUCGGGUACUUGCGCUUUGAUUUGAAUGAACCUUCAAAAGUAUUGAGUUAAACAUCCUUUGAGUUGUUAUUGCGGUUGAAGUGAUCUAGAAUUGUCAGUCCUAUUGUCACACACGAAUUUAAGGAAAAAUCCAGAUGUAUCUCAUAUGUGUGUCAAAAUUAGAUUUCACACAUAUAAUGACUCAGUUUAUAGAAUCCAAUGGCACAAAUUUAUUACAUAAUGAAUUGUCUUUACAAAGAUAACUAAGAUUAAAACUUGCACUGAUCUAAACAAAUUAAAUUAAACAAUAUUUAAUACAUGAUGAAAGGGAGAUAGUUAUACGUUUGUUCCUUGCCGACGAUCGGGUAGAGAAGACAACUUGACGCCUAACACCAUCUCAUUGUUACCGACGACAUGAAACGUCCACGUGACAAGGCGACAGAUGAGCCAUGGCAAUGAGAUUGAAGACGGCAAUGAAGUGAUCGAGCAUCCAUGUAGAGUGCUUCCCAAAAACUUUAUUUACCCUCUCCUGAUACAAGAUCUCUGGGGGCAAUAGUUUUGGAGACCUGCUCUCUUGUUUGUCGGUGCACGCGAAUGAUUAGGAAGAAGUAUCAUACGCACGACGCUGUAGGCAGGAAGCAGGGACGAAACUAGAUGCUUUGGUUGUGUUCUACUCUCGAUGGCAGCAACAAUACCUAUUUAAAGGAGGAAAUCGUGUUCGAG